Molecule: unclassified non-coding RNA, 331 nt
Filed under: soil metagenome
Description: partial contains 5.8S ribosomal RNA, internal transcribed spacer 2, and large subunit ribosomal RNA
Rfam family: 5.8S ribosomal RNA (bases 1-120)
Source: RNAcentral
GAUGAAGAACGUAGCGAAAUGCGAUACGUAAUGUGAAUUGCAGAAUUCAGUGAAUCAUCGAGUCUUUGAACGCACAUUGCGCCCCCUGGUAUUCCGGGGGGCAUGCCUGUCCGAGCGUCAUUGCUGCCCUCAAGCUCAGCUUGGUGUUGGGGCCGGCCCGUCACAGGGCCGCCCCUAAAAGCAGUGGCGGUGCCAUCUGGCUCUACGCGUAGUAAUACUCCUCGCGACAGAGUCCCGGUGGUGUCCUGCCAGAACCCCCCAUCUUUUUAAUGAUUGACCUCGGAUCAGGUAGGGAUACCCGCUGAACUUAAGCAUAUCAAUAAGCGGAGGA